UUUGGUCUAGCAGCAAACGCAUUUCAACUCCAGCUGACUCAGUCAGGAAGACUCCAGCUGGAGUUGAAACGCGUUUGCUGCUAGACCAACG
Molecule: non-coding RNA, 91 nt
Organism: Pelobates cultripes (western spadefoot toad)
Lineage: Eukaryota; Metazoa; Chordata; Amphibia; Anura; Pelobatidae
Source: the annotation of a GenBank genome assembly